RNA transcript from Hippoglossus stenolepis (Pacific halibut), 2187 nucleotides. It is a transcript of the gene named protein kinase, AMP-activated, gamma 3b non-catalytic subunit, with no coding region annotated. NCBI's taxonomy places the organism in Eukaryota, Metazoa, Chordata, Actinopteri, Pleuronectiformes, Pleuronectidae. The transcript is spliced from 13 exons. The record is from RefSeq and is a predicted model, not a curated record.
UUUGGUCCAGAUUUAGACGUCAGUCUUUCCCAGACAUCCAGACCCAGCUGUCCGAAGCUGCCUGCUGCUGCUCCCACUCCCUUGUCUCCUCGUUUUGUGUCCGAUUCUUCCUUCUUCCGUUCCUCCCCUCCUCUGUCCUUCUUCACCAUGUGUGGACUCUUUCAUCACCUCUUUAUCUGACAUGGUGGCAGAUCUCCACAGAUGUUUCAGGGCGACCGUGUGUCGGAGUCUCGCAGUCUUUUGUUUUCAUGCCCUUGUUUUUACCUGUCGGUCUGGUUCCACAGAGGCAGACGGCCUGUUCCUCUUCCCCAGCCAUGGAGCCUCUUCCUGAGGUUCCGUUAUUUCAGAUGUACGAGGAUGAGGAGGAAGAUGUUUCCGCACUGAAGAGCAGAGGUGGCUGUACGUAUACUGGGGCGCCCCCUGCAGACACAGACCCUGACACAUUCAUAUACAUGAACUUCAUGAAGAGUCACUGCUGCUACGACGCCAUCCCUACCAGCUCCAAACUGGUUAUCUUUGACACAACGCUACAGGUGAAGAAGGCUUUCUUUGCUCUGGUGGCUAAUGGUGUGAGGGCAGCGCCUCUGUGGGACGACAAGCUUAAGUGUUUUGUGGGGAUGCUGACCAUCACCGACUUCAUCAACAUUCUUCAUCGAUACUACAAGUCUCCUCUGGUUCAGAUCUAUGAGCUGGAGGAACACAAGAUAGAGACAUGGAGAGAGACCUAUCUGCAGUACUCCAUUAACAGACUGAUCAGCAUUACUCCUGAAUCAAGUCUGUUCGAUGCCAUCUACUCUUUGUUGAAGAAUAGGAUCCACCGCCUGCCGGUCAUCGACCCGGCAUCAGGAAACGUCCUUCACAUCCUCACUCACAAACGCAUCCUCAAGUUCCUCCACAUCUUUGGAUCCAUGAUUCCCAAACCCAGGUUUCUUCAGAAGCAGAUCAGUGAAGUGGCAAUUGGAACUUUCAAAGAAAUUGCGACGGUGCAGGAAUCGGCCUCCGUGUACGAUGCCCUGACGAUUUUCGUAGAGAGACGAGUGUCGGCUCUGCCUGUUGUCAAUGAGCAAGGUAAAGUGGUGGCGCUGUACUCCAGGUUUGACGUCAUUAAUCUCGCAGCCCAGAAAAACUACAACAACCUGAACAUGACGAUGCGGGAGGCUGUCGCCUCCAGAGCCUGCUGCAUGGAGGGAGUCCUCAAGUGUUACCCUUAUGAAACACUGGAGACCAUCAUCGACCGCAUUGCAAAGGCCGAGGUGCAUCGUUUAGUGUUGGUCGACAGUGACGAUGUGGUGAGAGGGAUUGUUUCUUUAUCGGACCUCCUACAAUCCCUGGUCCUCACUCCUGCAGGUAUUGAUGCUCUGUACUCCUAACUCCAACCCCUCCAUCCAUCCGUUGCUCUGUCUCUCAGUCCCUCUGUUCACCCAGCUCUCUGCCCGACCUACGCUCCUGCCUCCUACUGUGAACGCAAUGGUCUCCCACCUGCCAAACUCUUCUUCAUCCAGUUUUUCAUUCUCCUGAAGACUGAGGGUCUUUCUUCUCUACCAGUGAAGGUUUCUGGUGUCAAAGCUCCAGCCUCUGCCUGUUUCCUCCUGAUCCUUUGAGCUUUUUAUAUUCCUUAUCCAAGAACCUCGUCCUGCUCCUCCAAGAUCAACCUCCUUUGACAUCUUCAAACCCUCUGAACAACUAGCCUAUUACUAUUAUCAAACAAAGCACCUCCCCCAAGACCUCAUUUGGAAUGGUGCACUCUUGCCUACGCCCUUGCUCCUCCUUUAAAAGUCUCUUCUGAAGCAUCAAACGGAAUAAUUCAUGUUCCCCAAGCCUGCUUUGAUAUGUUCUACACAAUCAACAAAGAUCUUCUCUAAAACCCUUCAGAUCUGGAUGGUUCCUUUGUGCUUAUAAUGCCCCAUCUUCCACACAAACUUCAAAAAUCUACCAUACCAAAAUCCUAUCAUCCUACCGAACAUCCGACCUUCAUCUGAAGUUCCCACCAAUCAGCUUUUCACCUCAUCCUCUCCGUUCUCAGACGUCUCCGACACUUUCCCCCAAACUUCAAUCCGUCCGGCAGCAUCUUCAUACUGCAGCGCCUUUUCAGAAACCAACAAGCUUUUAUCCAACACAACUCAGAUAUUAACAGUCUGAGAGUUCGUCCCUUUGACCCUGAAGAAAACCAGGUAGAGACGAUUUGUG